RNAcentral lists this ribosomal RNA (428 nucleotides) under Bacillota bacterium. RNAcentral's name for it is "Firmicutes bacterium partial 16S ribosomal RNA". It matches the Rfam family "Bacterial small subunit ribosomal RNA", at positions 355 to 776 of the family's 1533-position model. Lineage: Bacteria; Bacillati; Bacillota. The record is from RNAcentral.
UGGGGAAUUGUUCGCAAUGGGCGCAAGCCUGACGACGCAACGCCGCGUGGAGGAUGAAGGUCUUCGGAUUGUAAACUCCUGUUGCCCGGGACGAAUGGCUCCAACCUAAUACGUUGGAGUGUGACGGUACCGGGUGAGGAAGCCCCGGCUAACUCUGUGCCAGCAGCCGCGGUAAUACAGAGGGGGCAAGCGUUGUUCGGAAUUACUGGGCGUAAAGGGCGCGUAGGCGGCCUUCUAAGUCAGACGUGAAAUCCCCGGGCUCAACCCGGGAACUGCGUCUGAUACUGGAAGGCUUGAAUCCGGGAGAGGGAUGUGGAAUUCCAGGUGUAGCGGUGAAAUGCGUAGAUAUCUGGAGGAACACCGGUGGCGAAGGCGGCAUCCUGGACCGGUAUUGACGCUGAGGCGCGAAAGCCAGGGGAGCAAACGGG